UACGUAGGUGACAAGCGUUGUCCGGAUUUACUGGGCGUAAAGAGCGCGCAGGCGGUCGAUCAAGUCGAGUGUGAAAGCCCCCGGCUCAACUGGGGAGGGUCAUUCGAUACUGAUCGACUCGAAGGCAGGAGAGGGUAGUGGAAUUCCCGGUGUAGUGGUGAAAUGCGUAGAUAUCGGGAGGAACACCAGUGGCGAAGGCGGCUCACUGGAUCGGUACUGACGCUGAGACGCGAAAGCGUGGGGAGCGAACAGG
This 253-nucleotide ribosomal RNA is filed under the name uncultured bacterium. RNAcentral describes it as "partial 16S ribosomal RNA". It matches the Rfam family "Bacterial small subunit ribosomal RNA", at positions 524 to 776 of the family's 1533-position model. The record is from RNAcentral.